Long non-coding RNA from Spinacia oleracea (spinach), 775 nucleotides. RefSeq lists it as uncharacterized. NCBI's taxonomy places the organism in Eukaryota, Viridiplantae, Streptophyta, Magnoliopsida, Caryophyllales, Amaranthaceae. The record is from RefSeq and is a predicted model, not a curated record. The transcript is spliced from 2 exons.
GUAUGCAUCCUAAUUAUGCUAAUUGUUAUGUGGCAAUUAAUUUGGAAUCCUGGCAUUUAUGGUUUUUCCGCAUGAUUUAUAUUCGUUUAUAUGUAUCAUAACCUAACAGUUGGGACAUCAUCGAACCAUCGAUCAUAAUCUUCUCUAUUAGUCGUGCUCAUUCCUGCAAAGGCAUUAGUAAAAUGGUUUUGAAAUUCAUUUUUUAUUUCAUUUUUUCCUAGUAGCCAGGUACCUCCCUCAUCUUGAAUGGUUUUGAUAAUAUUUCUGCCUCCUCUGGUCCUAACACUCUUGUAGAAGAAAGAAGAGGUCUGAUCUCCGAAUGCAUCCCAAUUUGAUUUUGCCAUUUGUUUCCAAUACCACCACUGAAGGUCUGCCUCCUCUUGAACUUCCUGCCUGCCUUUUGCCUCUCUUUGGAUGGAGUUUUUAUCCAAGAUAUCAUUUUGAAGCUUCCUUUGAAUUUUAAACAUCUUCGAUCCCGAAUGUGCCUCCAGCCAAGAGCUUUGGAUCAAGUCAAUUACAUCUUGUUUAAGCAGACACCAAGCUUGCAGUUUAUACGGUGUUCUUCUACGUUCUGGCAUUGGGGUAAUAUCAAUAAUUAUUGGGCUAUGGUCCGAUAAAAAGAUUGGCAGAUUCCAAACCAUAGCGUUAUUUGUAUAGAUCCAAAAUAUUCACCUUACUAUGCUAGUAUAUUUUAACUAACAUUAUACUUCAGAUAUGUUUAGUUCUGAAUUAAGAGCAUGGUUGCUCUAAUCACUAAGCUAUUCUUCCUUUUCUU